This 253-nucleotide ribosomal RNA is filed under the name uncultured bacterium. RNAcentral describes it as "partial 16S ribosomal RNA". It matches the Rfam family "Bacterial small subunit ribosomal RNA", at positions 524 to 776 of the family's 1533-position model. The record is from RNAcentral.
UACGUAGGGGGCAAGCGUUGUCCGGAUUUAUUGGGCGUAAAGAGCGUGUAGGCGGCCAUGUAGGUCCGUUGUGAAAACUCGAGGCUCAACCUCGAGACGCCGAUGGAAACCAUGUGGCUAGAAUCCGGAAGAGGAGAGUGGAAUUCCUGGUGUAGCGGUGAAAUGCGCAGAUAUCAGGAAGAACACCCGUGGCUAAGGCGGCUCUCUAGUACGGUACUGACGCUGAGACGCGAAAGCGUGGGGAGCGAACAGG